GAGUUUGAUCCUGCUCAGAUGACGCUAGCGACAGCUACACAUGCAAGUCGAGGGUACAGAUGAGAGCUGCUCAGAUGCUGACGACCGGCGCACGGGUGGGUAACACGUAUGCAACCUACCUUUUACAGAGGGAUAGCCCAGAGAAAUUUGGAUUAAUACCUCAUAAUAUUUUUAACUCGCAUGAGUUUUAAAUUAAAACUUCGGUGGUAAAAGAUGGGCAUGCGUUCUAUUAGUUUGUUGGUGAGGUAACGGCUUACCAAGACUACGAUAGAUAGGGGUUCUGAGAGGAUAGUCCCCCACACUGGUACUGAGACACGGACCAGACUCCUACGGGAGGCAGCAGUGAGGAAUAUUGGUCAAUGGUCGAAAGACUGAACCAGCCAUGUCGCGUGAAGGAUGACGGCCCUAUGGGUUGUAAACUUCUUUUGUAUGGGAAGAAAAGCAGUUACGUGUAAUUGUCUGCCGGUACCAUACGAAUAAGGAUCGGCUAACUCCGUGCCAGCAGCCGCGGUAAUACGGAGGAUCCAAGCGUUAUCCGGAUUUAUUGGGUUUAAAGGGUGCGUAGGCGGCUCUAUAAGUCAGUAGUGAAAUCUCGAAGCUCAACUUCGAACGUGCUAUUGAAACUGUAGAGCUUGAGUACAGACGAGGCAGGCGGAAUGUGUUGUGUAGCGGUGAAAUGCUUAGAUAUAACACAGAACACCGAUAGCGAAGGCAGCUUGCCAGACUGUAACUGACGCUGAGGCACGAAAGCGUGGGGAGCGAACAGGAUUAGAUACCCUGGUAGUCCACGCCGUAAACGAUGAUUACUGGUUGUAGGCGAUACAUUGUCUGUGACUGAGCGAAAGUAUUAAGUAAUCCACCUGGGGAGUACGUCGGCAACGAUGAAACUCAAAGGAAUUGACGG
Molecule: ribosomal RNA, 904 nt
Filed under: uncultured bacterium
Lineage: Bacteria
Description: bacterial SSU rRNA
Rfam family: Bacterial small subunit ribosomal RNA
Source: RNAcentral